This 330-nucleotide ribosomal RNA is filed under the name uncultured bacterium. RNAcentral's name for it is "bacterial SSU rRNA". It matches the Rfam family "Bacterial small subunit ribosomal RNA", at positions 568 to 898 of the family's 1533-position model. The record is from RNAcentral.
CGCGUAGGCGGGUGUUUAAGUCAGAGGUCAAAUCCCAGGGCUCAACCCUGGAACUGCCUUUGAUACUGGACACCUAGAGUGCGGGAGAGGUGAGUGGAACUCCGAGUGUAGAGGUGAAAUUCGUAGAUAUUCGGAAGAACACCAGUGGCGAAGGCGACUCACUGGCCCGUUACUGACGCUGAGGCGCGAAAGCGUGGGGAGCAAACAGGAUUAGAUACCCUGGUAGUCCACGCCGUAAACGAUGAGUGCUAGUUGUCGGCAAGCAUGCUUGUCGGUGACGCAGCUAACGCAUUAAGCACUCCGCCUGGGGAGUACGGUCGCAAGAUUAAA